ACACUGGCUAUGAUGGAGAUUAGUAAGUUAUACCUAAUCCACAGAGAAAAAGUACGCAGGCUGAAAGACUUUUGAUUAAGGAUAACUGAAGCAGCUUCGGAGCUUUAACUUUGAAAAAUAUACUUAUAGGGAUUUAAGUAAAGAUUUUAAUUUAUACAUGUCCAAAACGUCCAGAAACAUUUGGGAUUUGUAAAUGCAUAAAUUAAGUUUUACUAUUGGAAAUCUAUAGUAUAAGUAUAAUUAGAAGUUAACGGGUUGCACUCGUUACAAUGCAUUUUUAAGAGAUUACCUUAAAUGACAACUAUAUUACUUUGUCUAUUAGGUAGUAACUAGGGUGGUACCGCGGGCAAACUCUCGUCCCUAUA
This 365-nucleotide non-coding RNA is filed under the name Paramaledivibacter caminithermalis. Its description in RNAcentral is "Clostridium caminithermale T-box sequence". It matches the Rfam family "T-box leader". From Rfam's summary of the family: Uncharged tRNA acts as the effector for transcription antitermination of genes in the T-box leader family. The record is from RNAcentral. Lineage: Bacteria; Bacillati; Bacillota; Clostridia; Peptostreptococcales; Caminicellaceae.